CCUACGGGUGGCAGCAGUGAGGAAUAUUGGUCAAUGGGCGGAAGCCUGAACCAGCCAAGUCGCGUGCGGGAAUAAGGCCCUACGGGUCGUAAACCUCUUUUGCAGGGGAGCAAGGGCCGGGACGAGUCCCGGUCCGGAGAGUACCCGGAGCAAAAGCAUCGGCUAACUCCGUGCCAGCAGCCGCGGUAAUACGGAGGAUGCGAGCGUUAUCCGGAUUUAUUGGGUUUAAAGGGUGCGUAGGCGUGCUAUUAAGUCAGCGGUAAAAAUUCGGGGCUCAACCCCGUCCUGCCGGUGAAACUGGGGGCCUUGAGUGGGCGAGAAGAAGGCGGAAUGCGUGGUGGAGCGGUGAAAGGCUUAGAUAUCACGAAGAACUCCGAUUGCGAAGGCAGCUUACUAAACUGCCACUGACAUUGAUGCUCGAAAGUGUGGGUAUCAAACAGGAUUAGAUACCCGGGUAGUC
RNAcentral lists this ribosomal RNA (460 nucleotides) under uncultured bacterium. RNAcentral describes it as "partial 16S ribosomal RNA". It matches the Rfam family "Bacterial small subunit ribosomal RNA", at positions 338 to 795 of the family's 1533-position model. The record is from RNAcentral.